AUUGAACGCUGGCGGCAGGCCUAACACAUGCAAGUCGAGCGAGCGGCGGAAGGGUGAGUAAUGUCUGGGAAACUGCCUGAUGGUGGGGGAUAACUACUGGAAACGGUAGCUAAUACCGCAUACCAUCAGAUGUGCCCAGAUGGGAUUAGCUAGUAGGUGGGGUAACGGCUAACCUAGGCGACGAUCCCUCGCUGGGCUGAGAGGGUGACCAGCCACACGGGACAGGAGACACGGUCCGACCUCCUAGGGGGGGCAGCAGUGGGGAAUAUUGCACAAUGGGCGCAAGCCUGAUGCAGCACGGCCGCGUUUGUUAAGAGGGCGUUCGGGUUGUAAGGCACUUUCAGCGGGGAGGCGUUACCCGAAGAAGAAGCAACGGCUAACUCCGUGCCAGCAGCCGCGGUAAUAC
RNAcentral lists this ribosomal RNA (406 nucleotides) under uncultured bacterium. RNAcentral's name for it is "partial 16S ribosomal RNA". It matches the Rfam family "Bacterial small subunit ribosomal RNA", at positions 29 to 526 of the family's 1533-position model. The record is from RNAcentral.